Molecule: ribosomal RNA, 800 nt
Filed under: uncultured bacterium
Lineage: Bacteria
Description: bacterial SSU rRNA
Rfam family: Bacterial small subunit ribosomal RNA
Source: RNAcentral
AGAGUUUGAUCAUGGCUCAGAUUGAACGCUGGCGGCAUGCUUUACACAUGCAAGUCGAACGGUAACAGGCCGCAAGGUGCUGACGAGUGGCGAACGGGUGAGUAAUGCAUCGGAACGUGCCCAAUCGUGGGGGAUAACGUAGCGAAAGUUACGCUAAUACCGCAUACGAUCUAAGGAUGAAAGCGGGGGAUCGCAAGACCUCGCGCGAAUGGAGCGGCCGAUGUUAGAUUAGGUAGUUGGUGGGGUAAAGGCUCACCAAGCCGACGAUCUAUAGCUGGUCUGAGAGGAUGAUCAGCCACACUGGGACUGUGACACGGCCCAGACUCCUACGGGAGGCAGCAGUGGGGAAUUUUGGACAAUGGGCGCAAGCCUGAUCCAGCCAUUCCGCGUGCAGGAUGAAGGCCCUCGGGUUGUAAACUGCUUUUGUACAGAACGAAAAGCUCUGGGUUAAUACCCUGGGGUCAUGACGGUACUGUAAGAAUAAGCACCGGCUAACUACGUGCCAGCAGCCGCGGUAAUACGUAGGGUGCAAGCGUUAAUCGGAAUUACUGGGCGUAAAGCGUGCGCAGGCGGUUAUGUAAGACAGAGGUGAAAUCCCCGGGCUCAACCUGGGAACUGCCUUUGUGACUGCAUAGCUAGAGUACGGCAGAGGGGGAUGGAAUUCCGCGUGUAGCAGUGAAAUGCGUAGAUAUGCGGAGGAACACCGAUGGCGAAGGCAAUCCCCUGGGCCUGUACUGACGCUCAUGCACGAAAGCGUGGGGAGCAAACAGGAUUAGAUACCCUGGUAGUCCACGCCCUAA